CCGUGAGGGAAAGUUGAAAAGAACUUUGAAGAGAGAGUUCAAGAGUACGUGAAACCGUUCAGGGGUAAACCUGAGAAACCCGAAAGUUCGAAUGGGGAGAUUCACCGUUAACGGCGCUGGCUUCACGAUGGCUCUGGUGAUGGUCCUACGGGUUGCACCCUCGCGGUGCCUCGUUAUCCACGCCGCCAUCGCGUUCUAUGUCCGGCGUCGUCGACGUGCACUUCUCCCCUAGUAGGACGUCGCGACCCGUUGGGUGUCGGUCUACGGCCCGGGUGGGUGCCUGUCGCGUCGUCUCAAACGCACGCGUCAGACCCCCGGUCGCCCGACCGGCUGCUCGGCGGUAUUCCUAUGGUAUCAGGCCGCAAUUAUCAUUCUCGAACCUGCAUGCGUUCAGGCUCGUCGCCAGCUCGGUCAACGUUCUCUCUACCGGUGGUACGGACUCGUGCCGUCCCCGGGCGUGGCCAGCUGUUGGCGGACGGUGUCCUCGAACAGGCCAAACACAACUUCGUAGUUGAUACCGGUCAGCGACGCUAUUGCUUUGGGUACUCUCAGGACCCGUCUUGAAACACGGACCAAGGAGUCUAACAUGUGCGCGAGUCAUUGGGAAUAAAUAAAACCUAAAGGCGUAAUGAAAGUGAAGAUCGUCCUUAGCGUCGAUAUAGGGAGGAUGGGCGCCGUACCAUAUGGCGCCUCGCACUCCCGGGGCGUCUCGUUCUCAUUGCGAGAAGAGGCGCACCAAGAGCGUACACGUUGGGACCCGAAAGAUGGUGAACUAUGCCUGGUCAGGACGAAGUCAGGGGAAACCCUGAUGGAGGUCCGUAGCGAUUCUGACGUGCAAAUCGAUCGUCGGAACUGGGUAUAGGGGCGAAAGACUAAUCGAACCAUCUAGUAGCUGGUUCCCUCCGAAGUUUCCCUCAGGAUAGCUGGCACUCGUCCGUUCUCUCAUUUCGAACGUCUUAAGAGUCUCAUCUGGUAAAGCGAAUGAUUAGAGGCCUUGGGGCCGAAACGACCUCAACCUAUUCUCAAACUUUAAAUGGGUGAGAUCUCUGGCUUGCUUGAACAGUGAAGCCACGAGAUAUCGGAUCAGAGUGCCAAGUGGGCCAUUUUUGGUAAGCAGAACUGGC
RNAcentral lists this ribosomal RNA (1124 nucleotides) under Campsomeris cf. plumipes EMP-2008. Its description in RNAcentral is "eukaryotic LSU rRNA". It matches the Rfam family "Eukaryotic large subunit ribosomal RNA", at positions 351 to 1154 of the family's 3401-position model. Lineage: Eukaryota; Metazoa; Arthropoda; Insecta; Hymenoptera; Scoliidae. The record is from RNAcentral.